UACAGAGGUGGCAAGCGUUGUUCGGAAUUACUGGGCGUAAAGGGCGCGUAGGCGGCCUUGUAAGUCCUGUGUGAAAUCCCCCGGCUCAACUGGGGAACUGCACAGGAGACUGCUUGGCUUGAGUUCGGGAGAGGGAAGCGGAAUUCCGGGUGUAGCGGUGAAAUGCGUAGAUAUCUGGAGGAACACCGGUGGCGAAGGCGGCAUCCUGGACCGGUAUUGACGCUGAGGCGCGAAAGCCAGGGGAGCAAACGGG
This 253-nucleotide ribosomal RNA is filed under the name uncultured bacterium. Its description in RNAcentral is "partial 16S ribosomal RNA". It matches the Rfam family "Bacterial small subunit ribosomal RNA", at positions 524 to 776 of the family's 1533-position model. The record is from RNAcentral.